RNAcentral lists this ribosomal RNA (495 nucleotides) under uncultured bacterium. RNAcentral's name for it is "partial 16S ribosomal RNA". It matches the Rfam family "Bacterial small subunit ribosomal RNA", at positions 28 to 507 of the family's 1533-position model. The record is from RNAcentral.
GAUGAACGCUGGCGGCGUGCCUAAUACAUGCAAGUAGAACGCUGAAGGAGGAGCUUGCUCUUCUGGAUGAGUUGCGAACGGGUGAGUAACGCGUAGGUAACCUGCCUGGUAGCGGGGGAUAACUAUUGGAAACGAUAGCUAAUACCGCAUGACAACAGUUAUUGCAUGAUAACUGUUUAAAAGGGGCAACUGCUCCACUACCAGAUGGACCUGCGUUGUAUUAGCUAGUUGGUGAGGUAACGGCUCACCAAGGCGACGAUACAUAGCCGACCUGAGAGGGUGAUCGGCCACACUGGGACUGAGACACGGCCCAGACUCCUACGGGAGGCAGCAGUAGGGAAUCUUCGGCAAUGGACGGAAGUCUGACCGAGCAACGCCGCGUAAGUGAAGAAGGUUUUCGGAUCGUAAAGCUCUGUUGUAAGAGAAGAACGAGUGUGAGAGUGGAAAGUUCACACUGUGACGGUAUCUUACCAGAAAGGGACGGCUAACUACGUG